CAAUCUGGGGUGCCAUUUGGCUGAGAAACACCCAUUGAACCUGCUCUGGUUAGCACCAGCGAAGGGAGCA
RNAcentral lists this non-coding RNA (70 nucleotides) under Leuconostoc citreum. Lineage: Bacteria; Bacillati; Bacillota; Bacilli; Lactobacillales; Lactobacillaceae. The record is from RNAcentral.